Molecule: transfer RNA, 63 nt
Filed under: Cheirotonus gestroi
Lineage: Eukaryota; Metazoa; Arthropoda; Insecta; Coleoptera; Scarabaeidae
Also listed under: 2 other names
Description: tRNA-Thr
Rfam family: tRNA
About the family: Transfer RNA (tRNA) molecules are approximately 80 nucleotides in length. Their secondary structure includes four short double-helical elements and three loops (D, anti-codon, and T loops). Further hydrogen bonds mediate the characteristic L-shaped molecular structure. tRNAs have two regions of fundamental functional importance: the anti-codon, which is responsible for specific mRNA codon recognition, and the 3' end, to which the tRNAs corresponding amino acid is attached (by aminoacyl-tRNA synthetases). tRNAs cope with the degeneracy of the genetic code in two manners: having more than one tRNA (with a specific anti-codon) for a particular amino acid; and 'wobble' base-pairing, i.e. permitting non-standard base-pairing at the 3rd anti-codon position.
Source: RNAcentral
GUUUUAGUAAUUUAAGCAAAAUAUUGGUCUUGUAAACCAAAUAUAAGGUAUACUUCUAAAACU